CUUGCUUUGGCAGUGCCAAAUAAAACUGAAAUCACACGGAAAAGAUUAGCAUGACUCCUGAACAGGGAUGACAUACACAUUCAUGGUGUUCCAUAGUUUU
RNAcentral lists this small nuclear RNA (100 nucleotides) under Echinops telfairi (small Madagascar hedgehog). The record is from RNAcentral. Lineage: Eukaryota; Metazoa; Chordata; Mammalia; Afrosoricida; Tenrecidae.